Long non-coding RNA from Pieris napi, 801 nucleotides. RefSeq lists it as uncharacterized. The transcript has 3 exons. NCBI's taxonomy places the organism in Eukaryota, Metazoa, Arthropoda, Insecta, Lepidoptera, Pieridae. The record is from RefSeq and is a predicted model, not a curated record.
CAUUUACCGUGUUGGUCGGUUUUAGCGCGCCUCCUAACUUAACGUUCGAAUUACAAAAUCCCUUGACACUGGCCGUGAAAAUGUGCAUAAAAUUAAAAAGUUAGACCAUAUACAGUUGUGCCAAACAAUGGGAUUGAGUGAACGAUUUUCAUACGCGUUUUGGCGGCAAACUUGGAUGUCAGUGAGUUUGACAGAUGAACCUCCCGCGCUUUUCGUUCAGGUGCGUUCGAACACACUUUGAUAAUGUUUGAUUAAUGAUUGCCUGAUUCAAGACGUUUUACAAAUUUAUUAUAAAAAACUUGAACAAAAUCCACGAAAUAUAAAUACGAGAACAAUAAAUCAGUUUAACUAAAGAUUUGUGUCACAAAAUAAACUACGUUGGCCCAGAUUUGUUGAUUCGUGAAUUAUUUCAACGUUAAACAUCAAAGCUGUACAACACGAAGUUGUUUCAAUGUAUUGAUAAAAUUAUGUGAUAUAUUUGGGUUUAGAAUAAAGAAUAUUGUUAAAAAAUCGUGGUAUGGGCGUCAGAUAUGAUGAGUGCGAUGGGAUGUUCGCACGUGGCGGCGUGUAGAGACAAUUCUAUAGAGUGACGUAUUAAUUAAUGUUCUCCCGUGCUUUGACAAAUUGCUAUUGUGAUAAAUAUAGUGUGACAUGGACGUAUUCCUGUUAAUCUUCAAAGGGUUGAAAAUUGAUGAUGUAAGGGCAAACGGACAGUAAGCUGAUGCAACGGACAAAUAUUGCAGUACCAGAUGGCUUUCAGUUGUCGUAGGUACUCGCUAGAUGGCGAAGCUUGCGCGCUUU